This is a non-coding RNA of Peromyscus maniculatus bairdii (prairie deer mouse), 953 nucleotides long. The record is from RefSeq and is a predicted model, not a curated record. Lineage: Eukaryota; Metazoa; Chordata; Mammalia; Rodentia; Cricetidae.
CAGAAUUGUGGGGAGACUAGCAAGAAAGUAGAGUUUGAGGUGAGCCCAGGGGCUCUCAAGGCAGGAAAUGAAUUUUCAUUAACUCAUCAUGCUACAUCAUUCUUUGUCUUUUAAGAAUUCUCUUGUCAUCUGAAGGACCAUAGUUUAAAAAGGAACUAAGGGAUAAUAGCUACAGGGUAUAUUGGGUGAGGGUUCCUAAAAUUUUGUUCAACUGUCUUAUUCACGAAGCAUCCUUGGGCGAUGGGAUUUGUGAGCUGUGUUAGGCAGAAAGAACAGGAGUAAGAUGUCUCAACUCAAGAUGAUCCAUCCUGAUGCCACAGGAAACACUGUACCACUGACUUCAUGCCACCUUAGGACAGAUGACCUACCUUUUAAAUUCCUAAAGCAAUAUAUUUGCUGAAGAUUAUCUCAAAGGAGAAAGAUGAGAUAGACUCCAAAGGCCAGUGGCUUGAGUUUAGCAUAAGAAAAUUCUGGGGAAAAAAUAGUCCUAAUCAUCAUCCCAGCAGACAACCAAUGCACAUAGUCUAUGUCUGUUCAUGGAAGCUUAGCUGGAACAAGAUCUUCACACAUUUUGGCACUGCCACUAAGGCUCAGAGAUCCUCAUCAAGGGUGGAUAUCUCUUGAUCACUUUAUGGAUUGCCUUCAAGUCUGAGAACUAUCUCAGUUGUGAAAGCAGGACAGCUCAGACUAAACAUGCCUCUUGAGCAUAGACAGAUCUACCAGAAGUAUCUGAAGACAUCCGUGAAAUGAAUUCAUAUGAAUCAGCAAGUCCUUGCAGGAAGAUGUGUGGACCUCAGCUUUACUGGACAGCACAUCCCAGUAAAUGACCUGAGCAAAUAAGGAAAUCAAAGCCACAUCACUUGUACCAGUGUGUCUUCAGACAUGGACCACGCUAACAAUACAAAGAUAAUACAUGCCUGCUCUCCAAAGCCUUUCUCAGUGUCCACAGGCAU